AGUUAUGAAUGAGUAUGAACUAAAAUAUGGAUUCAUGUAUAUAAGAUUCUAUAGUAGUCUCAUAUCAAAGGGUUACAUACACAACUCUCACUACAAGAAAACAUCUUUUGAUGGAUAAGUUGAUUUCACAAGAUGUUUCUUAAGUCAGAUCAAUUCAGUAAACUCAUUCUUUAAUGAGUACCUAUAUCUUUGUAUUAGUGUUUCACACAAGUAGCUUAUAAAAUCAGCCACUCUCUCCAUCGAGCA
This 246-nucleotide long non-coding RNA is filed under the name Elaeis guineensis (African oil palm). Its description in RNAcentral is "long non-coding RNA (EGUI_LNC047246)". The record is from RNAcentral. Lineage: Eukaryota; Viridiplantae; Streptophyta; Magnoliopsida; Arecales; Arecaceae.